CGCCGCAAGGCCUGCCAUGGCCGGCGUCGAGGAGGUUAAUGGCGCGGAUCUCGCCGCCACGCGCUCGCCGCCGCGGACCUCCUCCACUGCUUCGUCCCGGCGCCCCGCUCCGGCCCCCGCCUCUGUCGGUGGAGGGGCGCGGCGAGGAGGCGGAGGUCCGACCUCCUCGGCCGCUCCGCUGGUGCUGAGGGAGAAAAGGGGCGGGGGAUGGGGGACCUCUGCCCCGCGCCUCCUGCUGGCGCUGCUGCUUGUCGCCGUGGCGGGGGCGUCGGCCAUCUGGGUACCAUGGCAGCCGUCUUCUCCAUCCUCCGCCGGCCCGGGGAUUGGGGAGAGAGGAGAAGGGAGGAGAGAGGGGAGGAAGGGGGAUGGGGAGGGCGACGGGUAGGAGAGAAAUGCCUUAUAAGUCAUCUACAACCAAACACACAUGAUUUAUAAGUCACUAGUUUUAAGUCACCUGACUUAUAAGUCACCUGACUUAUGGAAACCAAACAGGGCCUAAAGCAGAGGGAGAAGAGGGGCCCCUGGAGGUAGAGCACGUUGCAGGAGGUCCGCCGCCGGAAUGAACCCGCCCACGAAGCCGGCACCCCGGACGCCGACGCCGACGAAGCAGCACCGCGUGCACUGCCUCGCCCCAUUCUCGGCAUCACCUCGCCACGGCGCCACCCCUCACCUCCGCGAGCCGCCCGAUAAUAAUGUUACUUCAUUCCCAGAGAACUAUUCAAGCGAUCUGAGCAUGAAGUGAGCACGUAAAUGCCAAAUUCUCAUUUCGCAGCAUGAUAUUUACCAUUUGUUAAUGCUACCUAGAGUAUUUUGUUGGUGAACUGAUCUGCUUAAAAGCUUCAAGCAGUGCAUCCAUUAGAGCAUAUGCAGCACCAUCCAUGUUUGAAGUAGAAGCUCUAAAGCUCUAACGUCAAGCCAAUGAUUGUGGCUGAGAUGCAGCUGUUGUUUACUAGCCCUUGUGCAUUUGCUAUGAGCCUAUAAGUAUGACUCUUAGUUGUAUCAUGGAAUCACAGCAUUCUUAUACUAACCCUUCUACAACUACAUCGGAAUUACAAUGCAAAUGUGUAUCAAUUGCUGCGUAAUAACGGAACUGUUUAUCCCUGAUGCCCUUUGUUCCUUUCAGAUUUGAUAGACUUUGAGUGCUUCAAUUUCGACUCAUGUAAGAUUGGUGAUUAGCCAUCUGAGGCCUCUAUAAGUUUAACCACAGAUUUGUAAUAUUCUUUGUGCAUUCAGACAUUUCCUCUGACAUUGUUUUUGGUUCCAUGUCGACAUCAGCAGCGAACUACGUCAAGUUUAGUCAGCCCCUUGGCAACGGUGACCAUACUGGCAUCAUCAUCUACUUCGUCGUGCUCUCCCCCUCCAGCCAGGGAGCAUUCUGUUUGCAGCCCAAUUAAAAAGAAGAGUAGCAAGAUACCCUCCCUUGAUGACUGCCUUGAUGAUCUCAACAACAUCCUUAUAGAUGCGAGGGAGCGCAAGUCCCGUCGUAUCACUGAAGCCAAUGAGAUGGCAAAAGUCAAUCAGAUUUUGAAAGAGGAUGGGUACAGCGAGAGUGAUCUAUUUUUUGCCCAAGCCUUGAAUCUUUGCACACACAGGCUCCAUCGUAGGGCUUUCCUGGAUUUGAAGACCAAAAAAGGCCGGUACAACUACGUCAAGGUGUCUUGGGACGUGAUGACUCUAAAGUCCAAGUGAAUCCGAACAUCACAGUCGGCUGCUGCGUGUCUUUCAUUUGUAUCUGUUUUCGUUAUUGCCGAUGUCGUGUAGUUUGAAUACCGUGCCAUCGUGUCGUGAGUCCUGGUUGUUGUAAUACCGACCGUUUUGUGAACUUUGGUUGCUGGUCAAUGUUUGUGUGUCGAAAAAACGAUGUGUGUUGAACUCGAGGAGACUAGGUCAUAUGCUAUGGUAUCAUUUCAAUCUGAAUAUUGUUAUUAAUUGUGUUGUGUGGCAAAUAUCCAAGGGCAACUGCGUUAUUUGU
Long non-coding RNA from Panicum virgatum (switchgrass), 1972 nucleotides. RefSeq lists it as uncharacterized. The record is from RefSeq and is a predicted model, not a curated record. The transcript is spliced from 3 exons. Lineage: Eukaryota; Viridiplantae; Streptophyta; Magnoliopsida; Poales; Poaceae.